This 145-nucleotide unclassified non-coding RNA is filed under the name soil metagenome. RNAcentral's name for it is "partial internal transcribed spacer 1". The record is from RNAcentral.
UAAUAAGUGUUUUAUGGCACUUUUUAAAUCCAUAUCCACCUUGUGUGCAAUGUCGGUCGAUCUUCUUCAUGGAGAUCGACCAAACAUCAACCUUUAUCUUCUAACUCUUUGUCUGAAAAAUAUUAUGAAUAAACAAUUCAAAAUA